CAGCGCCGCGGGAAUACGUAGGGGGCAAGCGUUGUCCGGAAUUAUUGGGCGUAAAGCGCGCGCAGGCGGUUCUUUAAGUCUGGUGUAUAAGUGCGGGGCUCAACCCCGUGAGGCACUGGAAACUGGGGAACUUGAGUGCAGAAGAGGAGAGCGGAAUUCCACGUGUAGCGGUGAAAUGCGUAGAGAUGUGGAGGAACACCAGUGGCGAAGGCGGCUCUCUGGACUGUAACUGACGCUGAGGCGCGAAAGCGUGGGGAGCAAACAGGAUUAGAUACCCCAGUAGUCCCUGUCUCUUAUACAC
Molecule: ribosomal RNA, 301 nt
Filed under: uncultured bacterium
Lineage: Bacteria
Description: partial 16S ribosomal RNA
Rfam family: Bacterial small subunit ribosomal RNA
Source: RNAcentral